Molecule: ribosomal RNA, 460 nt
Filed under: uncultured bacterium
Lineage: Bacteria
Description: partial 16S ribosomal RNA
Rfam family: Bacterial small subunit ribosomal RNA
Source: RNAcentral
CCUACGGGUGGCAGCAGUGAGGAAUAUUGGUCAAUGGGCGGGAGCCUGAACCAGCCAAGUAGCGUGAGGGAUGACUGUACAGCGUAUUGUAAACUUCUUUUGUCAGGGAAUAAAGGGGGGGACGAGUCCCCUGUUGUGGGUACCUGAAGAAUAAGCAUCGGCUAACUCCGUGCCAGCAGCCGCGGUAAUACGGAGGAUCCGAGCGUUAUCCGGAUUUAUUGGGUUUAAAGGGUGCGGAGGUGGCUCGUUAAGUCAGCGGUAAAAGUUUGGGGCUCAACCCUAACAUUGCCGUUGAAACUGGCAGGCUGGAGUACAGGAGAGGUAGGCGGAAUGCGGGGUGUAGCGGUGAAAUGCUUAGAUAUCGCGCAGAACUCCGAUUGCGAAGGCAGCUUACCGGACCGCCACUGACACUGAGGCUCGAAAGUGUGGGUAUCAAACAGGAUUAGAUACCCGGGUAGUC